This 234-nucleotide long non-coding RNA is filed under the name Trifolium pratense (red clover). Its description in RNAcentral is "long non-coding RNA (TPRA_LNC009718)". The record is from RNAcentral. Lineage: Eukaryota; Viridiplantae; Streptophyta; Magnoliopsida; Fabales; Fabaceae.
CAUAAUUUCAGCUUUUGGUACCCAUCUUCUGGGUCCACGCUUGUUAGUCCACAAUUGCUUAUUAUGUUGUCUAGUGUUGGAGAAAGAUCUUGGUUUGGAAUAAUGACCUUUUUGAAACCUUUUCUUUUGAAAUCUGUUAUUAUUCCAGGAUUUGGAUUGUUUAUGAUUCCAGGGUUUGUAUUUAUCACCAAUCCCAUGUUCUGAUUGAUUAUAUCUACUGACUCUAGAAUCAUA